UUCUUAGAUAUGAAAUUAGUUUCUAAAAUUUUGUAUAUUAUAAUUAGGAAGAAAUUACCUAUUAGUUCCAAAAUUUGAUAAUUUUAGGAUGUGUUUCUAAAGGGAGAAACAGAAGUUAUAAUGACGGGUAGUGACAUAGACUAGGGAGUUGCAAAUAUCUAUAAUUAAUCAUGUAUAAAAGGGUAGGUUGACAGAAAACAAGUAUUGAACUCUCAAUUGCCUGUUGC
Molecule: long non-coding RNA, 227 nt
Filed under: Elaeis guineensis (African oil palm)
Lineage: Eukaryota; Viridiplantae; Streptophyta; Magnoliopsida; Arecales; Arecaceae
Description: long non-coding RNA (EGUI_LNC009364)
Source: RNAcentral